RNAcentral lists this ribosomal RNA (403 nucleotides) under uncultured bacterium. RNAcentral's name for it is "bacterial SSU rRNA". It matches the Rfam family "Bacterial small subunit ribosomal RNA", at positions 355 to 774 of the family's 1533-position model. The record is from RNAcentral.
UAGGGAAUAUUGCAAAAUGGGCGAAAGCCCGAUGCAGCAACGCCGCGUGGGCGAUGAAGGCCUUCGGGUCGUAAAGCCCUUUUUGAGGGGAUGAGGAAGGACAGUACCCUCAGAAUAAGCCUCGGCUAACUACGUGCCAGCAGCCGCGGUAAAACGUAGGAGGCGAGCGUUAUCCGGAUUUACUGGGCGCAAAGCGCGUGCAGGCGGAUUGGAGAGUUGGAUGUGAAAGCUCCCGGCUUAACUGGGAGAGGUCGUUCAAUACUUCCAGUCUUGAGUGCAGUAGAGGGAAGUGGAAUUCCGGGUGUAGUGGUGAAAUGUGUAGAUAUCCGGAGGAACACCAGUGGCGAAAGCGGCUUCCUGGACUGUAACUGACGCUCAGACGCGAAAGCUAGGGUAGCAAACG